Long non-coding RNA from Drosophila yakuba, 936 nucleotides. RefSeq lists it as uncharacterized. Lineage: Eukaryota; Metazoa; Arthropoda; Insecta; Diptera; Drosophilidae. The record is from RefSeq and is a predicted model, not a curated record. The transcript has 3 exons.
AGCGUGCGUGCUGUCUUUGUAUUGGCCAUUAAACGCUGCUGUCAACGUAGCCGAAGGGCUGAAGAGAACGGCUGAACGGCAUGGAAAUGCCAGUGCCAGUGGAAAUGAAUAUGGAGGUGUCGCCCCACAAUUUGUCUCAAUAGAUUCCGUCGUGGCUGGCCUUAUCAGCACAGGUAGUGCGCUCACAGGUGAGGGUGCUCGCCCUCGCCCCCGCCCGCUCCCUUUACCUGCGACCCGGUCGUGCGCAUCCAUUCAAGCCAACUCACAGCUGAGGUCACUACUAUAGUGCUGAAGUAAUUGGAUCUUCAUUACAUUAAUAUCUAAAACAGGAAGGAUACCAUGACAUUCUUAUGUCUCAAACUUACUUCCAACGAUAUUACUAUACUUACUUCUAUAAUCUGUACCUGUGACAAUUGACAACUCCAGUCGCUGGAGCGAUCUGCUCCACACCGCCGCUGUCGCCGGCGACUUUAUCAGAAGACAAGGCGAACACGCCAGGAGAACCCAGCCAUAAUGUUCUUUGAUGUUUGCACGAGACGGAGUGUCAUUAAUUGAUUUAUUACCCAAGUUGAUUGCCUGGGCUUCCUUUCGGCCUGCUCUGGACAGAUUUGGGGAUGUCCAAGUGGUUAGAUGGCCAACUAAUUAGGUAAAUGUGUUUGCUCUGAUGUUACCUGACUCCGGGUGAUAUCUUCUCGCCUUGGCAGAUAUAUUUCCAGCGGCGAUAACGUCGAGGGUGGGAACAUCGUCGUCGAUCGGCCACUUAGAUGAUUGGGAUGGCGACAAGGUGGUCCGCUUCGGCUGCGUUUCGUCAUCCGUUGUUUGCUCCAUUUCGAUCAUUGUUUGAAGUGGGAACAGAAACAAAUGUGUGCACUUGCGGCCUGUUUAUUCAGCUUGGCAAUGUCUCGCUUGUGAACAAUAUAUACCACUAUAUGGCCA